GGCAUUUAGCUCGUUUCCCUCUGUAGUCCGUAAUAAUUGCAAGCCCUGCCAGAUCUGAUAUGUCAGAGCCGGUGUAGUAGGAUUCAAUCUUAGUCCUGUAUUGACGCUUUGCCUGUUUGAUGGUUCGUCUGAGGGCAUAGCGGGAUUUCUUAUAAGCGCCCGGAUUAGUGUCCCACUCCUUGAAAGUGGAUGUUGCCUGUAAUCCAUGGCUUCUGGUUGGGAUAAGUCACCUUAGGGACAACGUUGCCGAUGCACUUAUUGAUGAAGCCGGUGACUGAGGUGGUGUACUCCUCAAUGCCAUAGGAUGAAUCCCGGAACAUAAUCCAGUCUGUGCUAGCAAAACAGUCCUGUAGCGUAGCAUCCGCGUCAUCUGACCACUUCCGUAUUGAGCGAGUCACUGGUACUUCCUGCUUCAGUUUUUGCUUGUAAGCAGGAAUCAGGACAAUAUAAUUAUGGUCAGAUUUACCAAAUGGAGGGCGAGGGAGAGCUUUGUAUGCGUCUCUGUGUGUGGAGUACAGGUGGUCUACAGUUUUUUUCUCCUUUGUUUGCACAUGUGACAUGCUGGUCGAAAUGAGGUAAAACGGAUUUAAGUUGGCCUGCGUUAAAGUCCCUGGCCACUAGGUGCGCCGCUUCUGGGUGGGCAUUUUCUUGUUUGCUUAUGGCCUUAUACAGCUCAUUGAGGUGGAAAAUAUACGGCUACGAAUAAUAUAGAUAAGAACUCUCUUGGUAGAUCGUGUGGUCUACAGCUUAUCAUCUUUUCAAAGCUAUUAAGGCAAUUCUCAAUAAAAAGUAUUUAAAGGAAAGAGGGGAAUUGUUUUCCAUUCGGUACUUGAUGUUUGAAGUUAUUUACCCUAACCCUAUGUUAUUUCCUCAUCUCUUGUUGCUAUGCUCUGUAACUAAAGGAUGAGUGGAUUAUAAAAUACUACAGAAAAUAUAACACCACCAACAAUUCAAUUCUAAUGUGUUUUGAUGUAUUUUCUCUCCAACCCUCUCCCUCUCUUUCACCCCCUCCCUCUCUCCGCAUCUCUCUAUCUCUUUCCCUCUCUCGAUUGCCCCCCCCUCCCUCUUCAUCCUCUCUCUCUCCUCUCCUCAGUCUCCAAGGUCAGGCGAAGGUUGUUUGGAGGUCGGGGGCCGGGGCCCCCAGGGUAGUGGCCCUGUCUCUGACGGCUCAUCUGCUUCAAAGACUGGAACCGCCAGGCCCCAGGUCAGGAGACUAUCAGGGAGUGUUUCCACAGCCACCUCCAAAACUCAGCUGUGAGAGAGGAGUGAAGUGCCUGUGUGCAGUGUCCAUCCUGGUGGUCUGUGGCCUGGGCUGGGCUCUCUCCCUGGUCCCCCUGUUCCCCUGGUGCAUGGCUCUGUCCAGACUGCUCUCCAGCUUCCUCCUCUUCCUGCUGGCUGCUGUAAUGCUGACCCCUGACCUUUGACCCCCACCGUCCUUUGCUCCUCCAAUCCUGUCCCAGACUGGAACUGAGCUACCUCACUGCUCUGCCGACCACCAUGCAAACCCCACGUCCAUUUCUCACCACACACACACACACACACACACACACACACACACACACACACACACACACACACACACACACACACACACACACACACACACACACACACACACUUAUUCCGCCAGUUUGCAUGGCAUUUCUCACUAUCUCACCGGUACUGUACAACCAGCUGCAGAUGUUAUAAGCCCAGGGCACAAGUUUCCUUGUUUGCUGCAUCAGAACAAAGUAGGGUAAAAUUUGAAGAGGACACAUGGAGUGGAGGAAUCCUAUGAGAACAACACUGCUGAGAGUUCCACAGAGUUCUGAGACUUCCAGCUCCAUGACAACGUGUGUUAAGAAAGAGAGAGAAGAGAGUGAUUGUGUUGGCGCUCAACUGAUGAAGGAAAUGGAAGUUGGACCGAUGUCAUAAUGAAAGGCAAAAGCAAGUAGAUCUAUCUAUGCAACACGGCCCAGGUUGGAAACAGCUGAGCAGUGUUGUGUAGUAUAAGAUUGAUGACGACUGUUGACUUAAAUUCAGUAUAUAUCUGCCAUUUCCUUUUUUUUUUAUUCCUAAGACAUAGAGGAACGGUACGAGGGAAGGUUUUAAACGUAAAAAAUGUGUGCCUUGCUAUUGUUGUUUCUUAUACCUUUUGUUAAAACACUGCUUACCCAGUUAGGUGUUCAAAAGAUGUAGAGAAAGAAAAAAAGGACAACCGGCAAGGUUGAAACAGGCAUCUGUUUCUAUGUAUACGAUCUCCGACCUUGACGUAUAAUAAUGGUGUACAUGCUUUGUGUUUAGUGUAAAAUUGUACGCGUUCUGUGAUGUGGAAUAUUAUGGGCCUUAAAGUGCUAGACUGCAUGGUUAAUAAAUAUACAAACAUGUUGAGAAAUAAACGUUAUUCAUUGGAAACCAUUGGAUUACAUGCCUGUUCUGUAUGUGAUUCACCUUAAACAUGUACAAGCAUCUUUCAGCGUUGAUCAUUUCUCCUCCUUCCACUAUAGACACAAAAGUGGAACAUUAAAUGAGAAAUAAGGAAAAUGGGUCUGGGUCAAGGCCGUCAUUGGGGAUUCCAGGAGUUAGUACUACAAAAAGCAGGUGAUUGACAAGACUGAUUGAGGUUAUAUGAAAACAGAUGUUUAGGGAUGUCAUUGAAUGUUAACUACAAAAAAAAAUACAUAAAGUGUAUGCCAGCAUCCUAAAUGGCACCCUAUACCCUAUAUAUGGGGCCCCAUAGGCCCCAUAGAGCCCUAUGGGGCCUGGUCAAAAGUAGUGUACUAUAGGGAAUAUGGACACACUGUAUGUUAGCAAGUGUAUAGGCAUUACAUUGACCACGGUGCGAGUGUGGUCUGCCACACAGACAUUAGCAUGAGUAAUUGGUUGUUUACAGGAGGUGUUGAUGAUCCUGAAGACGAUAGGACAGGAGAAAUUAUCCUCUGGGCCCAUCAGCCAAUCAGCUGCGGAGGUACAUCCCCGACAUGCUCACACACACACACACACACACACACACACACACACACACACACACACACACACACACACACACACACACACACACACACACACACACACACUGCUCAACAACCAAUCAACUUUUCCCUGAUUGCUUAUACUAGCCUUGAUGACAAACCCUUUACUGUAAUCGUCUAUUUGGUCUCAUGGAAGAUGCUAGUUUGUUGAUGAGUGUGCUCCUACAUCAGAUCAAAUCAGACAGAAAAGGGAAUAGUAUUCAUUGUUUAUAAAAUGACUAUGUAUGUGAAUAUUACGUAAAACAACCGUUUCCUCAGCCAUCAGUUGCCAUGUUACAGGCUCUUGAUCUAGCAAAGUGCAGAAUACAGAAUAAAAACAUUGCAUGUUAUAUCACAUUAUGAGGUAUUUGAUUACUGUUGCUUUCCUUGUACUUCUAUCUUAUUAAUAGGAAAGUUGCCAAAUAGUUUUUAUUCUUAUUGUUGCUGAAGGGUUUAGACUUGACUGAUA
Long non-coding RNA from Salmo trutta (river trout), 3459 nucleotides. NCBI's taxonomy places the organism in Eukaryota, Metazoa, Chordata, Actinopteri, Salmoniformes, Salmonidae. The record is from Ensembl.